CCUACGGGAGGCAUCAGUGGGGAAUAUUGGACAAUGGGGGGAACCCUGAUCCAGCGACGCCGCGUGAGUGAAGAAGUAUUUCGGUAUGUAAAGCUCUAUCAGCAGGGAAGAAAGAAAUGACGGUACCUGACUAAGAAGCCCCGGCUAACUACGUGCCAGCAGCCGCGGUAAUACGUAGGGGGCAAGCGUUAUCCGGAUUUACUGGGUGUAAAGGGAGCGUAGACGGCGAUGCAAGUCUGAAGUGAAAGGCGGGGGCCCAACCCCCGGACUGCUUUGGAAACUGGAUGGCUGGAGUGAAGGAGAGGUAAGUGGAAUUCCUAGUGUAGCGGUGAAAUGCGUAGAUAUUAGGAGGAACACCAGUGGCGAAGGCGGCUUACUGGACUGUAACUGACGUUGAGGCUCGAAAGCGUGGGGAGCAAACAGGAUUAGAUACCCUAGUAGUC
RNAcentral lists this ribosomal RNA (443 nucleotides) under uncultured bacterium. RNAcentral's name for it is "partial 16S ribosomal RNA". It matches the Rfam family "Bacterial small subunit ribosomal RNA", at positions 338 to 795 of the family's 1533-position model. The record is from RNAcentral.